Molecule: long non-coding RNA, 1148 nt
Filed under: Homo sapiens (human)
Lineage: Eukaryota; Metazoa; Chordata; Mammalia; Primates; Hominidae
Description: HSALNT0343739
Source: RNAcentral
CUGGGAAUGCAGAAGACAGAAAGAUGAUCAGCUGGAAACAAACUGAAGGAGUGUGUUGGCUAGCAACACAUAAUGAGAGUAGGGGCAGGCUUCUGACCUUGAUGGUGGCGGAGCCGCAUUCUCUCGCAUAAUCUGUCAGUUCUCUCUCUCUCUUACAGGAGACCAGCCUGUCUGGGAAAAAGUCACUUAGCUACCAAUGCCUCUGAGCAUACGGCCAAAUUCCCCCAACCUCCUCUCUGAUCAGCUUCUGCCUCUUUUUGUAACACUAAGUGGGUUGGGGAAGCCCCUGGAGGCUGAGGGCUGUCAUAGGCCAUCUGUGUGAGGACUCCCAGGGGCUGAGGGAGCUGUGAGGAGGGACGUAGAGACUGGGCUGACACCAGGUGCUUACCAUUAUCAUCGCUUACGAUGAAGAUGUAAAAGAGGUGCCACAUAUGGACUGGAGGUUCCAUCCCAGCUGCCGCUUCCUGCCAUCCACCCUGGCUCUUCUCUGGAACAGCCAUCUCCGGACCUGUCCUGGAAGUUCGCACACUUCUGCAUUUGCCUUUGUCAUCGUAAGGCUAAUGCUGGGAAACGUGCUCACGUCUUGAUUGUAUUUAUGCUGUGUCUAAUUUUAGUUCUAUUGUACCAAAAUGACUGACAUGGGUUUAAUUGCUUGAUCCAAUAGAUGCUGGUGCAUCAGACCAACAGAAGCUUGCUCUUACCGUUAUUAACCUGAUAUAUUCUGACUAAUUCACAGAAUGAGGGAGAGUAUGUUUUCUUCUUACAGCACAUCCUGCUCAGUGACUGUGUCAUCACCAAACAUUUAAAAAGAGUCCGUUAUGUUAAAAAUAUUAUGCUAACCACCGAGAACACAAAGAGGUGUGGACACAGUCACUGACCUUCAGGGUACUGACAGGUUGUGCAACAGGUCACUUUACAAACAAGACCAGAGGACAGCAUAUGAAAAACAGUGAGCAAGGCCACAGGUACUAGGCGCUUGGAGUCUGGGGCCCCAGACUUGCUUCCAUAUUUAAAUGUCGGCACUCACUUUGCUGCCAGUGACUCUCAUCUUAUUUCUCACAUGCGGACUCGACACAGCAUGAGGGGCAGGCAGGUGGGGAGGUGGCAGCAAAACAAGAAUGCAUGGUUCUGACCUCAAGAAGCCUGAG